CAGUAGCCGCGGUAAUACGUAGGUGGCAAGCGUUGUCCGGAAUUAUUGGGCGUAAAGGGCUCGCAGGCGGUUUCUUAAGUCUGAUGUGAAAGCCCCCGGCUCAACCAGGGGAGGGUCAUUGGAAACUGGGAAACUUGAGUGCAGAAGAGGAGAGUGGAAUUCCACGUGUAGCGGUGAAAUGCGUAGAGAUGUGGAGGAACACCAGUGGCGAAGGCGACUCUCUGGUCUGUAACUGACGCUGAGGAGCGAAAGCGUGGGGAGCGAACAGGAUUAGAUACCCCCGUAGUCCCUGUCUCUUAUA
This 301-nucleotide ribosomal RNA is filed under the name uncultured bacterium. Its description in RNAcentral is "partial 16S ribosomal RNA". It matches the Rfam family "Bacterial small subunit ribosomal RNA", at positions 509 to 808 of the family's 1533-position model. The record is from RNAcentral.